GGUGAGAUGGCCGAGCGGUCUAAGGCGCCAGACUAAGGACUAGAGCAUCUUCUGCUCAACACUGACUGUUCACUACGGUUAUCUGGUCCUCCGGGGCGCGAGUUCGAAUCUCGCUCUCAUCA
This is a non-coding RNA of Pholiota molesta, 122 nucleotides long. The record is from the annotation of a GenBank genome assembly. NCBI's taxonomy places the organism in Eukaryota, Fungi, Basidiomycota, Agaricomycetes, Agaricales, Strophariaceae.